This 374-nucleotide ribosomal RNA is filed under the name uncultured organism. Its description in RNAcentral is "bacterial SSU rRNA". It matches the Rfam family "Bacterial small subunit ribosomal RNA", at positions 526 to 896 of the family's 1533-position model. The record is from RNAcentral.
CGUAGGGUGCAAGCGUUGUCCGGAUUUAUUGGGCGUAAAGAGCUCGUAGGCGGCUUAGAAAGUCAGGUGUGAAACCUCCAGGCUCAACCUGGAGACGCCACUUGAUACUUCUAUGGCUUGAGUUCGGUAGGGGUAAGCGGAAUUCCUGGUGUAGCGGUGAAAUGCGCAGAUAUCAGGAGGAACACCGAUGGCGAAGGCAGCUUACUGGGCCGAAACUGACGCUGAGGAGCGAAAGCGUGGGGAGCGAACAGGAUUAGAUACCCUGGUAGUCCACGCCGUAAACGUUGGGUACUAGGUGUGGGAGGUAAUCAACGCCUUCCGUGCCGCAGCUAACGCAUUAAGUACCCCGCCUGGGGAGUACGGUCGCAAGACUA